ACKGCUCAGUAACACGUUGGCUAACCUGCCCUCGAGACGGAGACAACCCCGGGAAACUGGGGCUAACCCCCGAUAGACGAAGAGCCCUGGAAUGAGCCUUCGCCCAAAAAGCACCCAGGCUACGCAUCUGGAUGCCGCUCGAGGAUGGGGCCGCGACCGAUCAGGCAGUUGGUGAGGUAACGGCUCACCAAGCCUAUAACCGGUGCGGGCCGUGGGAGCGGGAGCCCGGAGAUGGGCACUGAGACAAGGGCCCAGGCCCUACGGGGCGCAGCAGUCGCGCAAACUUUGCAAUACACGAAAGUGUGACAGGGCUAUCCCGAGUGCCGUCCGCUGAGGAUGGCUUUUACCCAGUCUAGAAAGCUGGGAGAAUAAGGAGAGGGCAAGUCUGGUGUCAGCCGCCGCGGUAAUACCAGCUCUCCGAGUGGUGUGGAUGUUUACUGGGCCUAAAGCAUCCGUAGCUGGCCAGGCCAGUCCCCUGUUAAACCCACCGAAUUAAUCGUUGGAUUGCGGGGGAUACUGCCCGGCUAGGGGACGAGAGAGGCAGACGGUAUUCUCGGGGUAGGGGUGAAAUCCUAUAAUCCCGGGAAGACCACCAGUGGCGAAGGCUGUCUGCUAGAACGAGCCCGACGGUGAGGGAUGAAAGCUGGGGGAGCGAACCGGAUUAGAUACCCGGGUAGUCCCAGCUGUAAACGAUGCAGGCUAGGUGUUUGGGCGGCCACGUGCCGCUCUAGUGCCGCAGGGAAGCUGUUAAGCCUGCCGCCUGGGGAGUACGAUCGCAAGGUUGAAACUUAAAGGAAUUGGCGGGGGAGCAC
This 812-nucleotide ribosomal RNA is filed under the name uncultured Thermoproteales archaeon. RNAcentral's name for it is "bacterial SSU rRNA". It matches the Rfam family "Archaeal small subunit ribosomal RNA", at positions 85 to 879 of the family's 1478-position model. Lineage: Archaea; Thermoproteati; Thermoproteota; Thermoprotei; Thermoproteales. The record is from RNAcentral.